Molecule: ribosomal RNA, 331 nt
Filed under: uncultured bacterium
Lineage: Bacteria
Description: bacterial SSU rRNA
Rfam family: Bacterial small subunit ribosomal RNA
Source: RNAcentral
CGCGUAGGCGGGCCACCAAGUCCGGGGUGAAAUCCUUCGGCUUAACCGGAGAAUUGCCUGGGAUACUGGUGGUCUUGAGGGAGGUAGGGGCACGCGGAACUUCCGGUGGAGCGGUGAAAUGCGUUGAUAUCGGAAGGAACGCCGGUGGCGAAAGCGGCGUGCUGGCCCUCUUCUGACGCUGAGGCGCGAAAGCCAGGGGAGCGAACGGGAUUAGAUACCCCGGUAGUCCUGGCCCUAAACGAUGGGUACUAGGUAGUGGACUUGACAUGGGUUCACUGCCGGAGCAAAAGUGUUAAGUACCCCGCCUGGGGAGUAUGGUCGCAAGGCUGAA